GCGUAAAGCGCGCGCAGGUGGUUUCUUAAGUCUGAUGUGAAAGCCCACGGCUCAACCGUGGAGGGUCAUUGGAAACUGGGAGACUUGAGUGCAGAAGAGGAAAGUGGAAUUCCAUGUGUAGCGGUGAAAUGCGUAGAGAUAUGGAGGAACACCAGUGGCGAAGGCGACCUUCUGGUCUGUAACUGACACUGAGGCGCGAAAGCGUGGGGAGCAAACAGGAUUAGAUACCCUGGUAGUCCACGCCGUAAACGAUGAGUGCUAAGUGUUAGAGGCUUUCCGCCCUUUAAGGCUGAACUUAACGCAUUAAGCACUCGGGCUUGGAAAGUCCGGCCGCAAGGCUGAAUCUCAAAGGAUUUGACGGGGGCC
Molecule: ribosomal RNA, 366 nt
Filed under: Bacillus thuringiensis serovar azorensis
Lineage: Bacteria; Bacillati; Bacillota; Bacilli; Caryophanales; Bacillaceae
Description: bacterial SSU rRNA
Rfam family: Bacterial small subunit ribosomal RNA
Source: RNAcentral